Molecule: ribosomal RNA, 255 nt
Filed under: uncultured bacterium
Lineage: Bacteria
Description: partial 16S ribosomal RNA
Rfam family: Bacterial small subunit ribosomal RNA
Source: RNAcentral
UACGUAGGGGGGCUAGCGUUGUCCGGAUUUAUUGGGCGUAAAGAGCGUGUAGGCGGCCAGGUAGGUCUGGUGUGAAAACUCGAGGCUUAACCUCGAGAUGUCAUCGGAAACCAUCUGGCUAGAGUCCGGAAGAGGAGAGUGGAAUUCCUGGUGUAGCGGUGAAAUGCGCAGAUAUCAGGAAGAACACCAAUGGCGAAAAGCAGCUCUCUGGGACGGUACUGACGCUGAGACGCGAAAGCGUGGGGAGCGAACAGG